AUGCACUGGGCGCUCAGGUCUGCGCGAAGCUGUCGCGGGAGCAGGCACCUUGUGGUCAGCUCUGGGACCCGCAUUUGCAGUGAGUGCGUGGAGCCCCAGGCAAGGCCUGGGAAAGGUUGCAGGUGAAGAGAGGGCACCCUGUCGUCCUGCCAAGGAAAAAUUGGCGGCUGAAAAUGUUUCUGGCUUCUUGGAGAAGGUGAGGCUGGACGAGGAAACAGGAAGUUAAUUUGGCUAGGAGAUAAACCGUCACUCACCCUGCAUGUAACCUGGACGUGACCUGCACGUCCUGGGAGCUUCUGUUUUCCUGUCCCCACGCACUCGCAGCGUGCAGACCAAUAUGGUUUCCAGUUAUUUAUAUACUUAUUUACUGUCUGUCUCCCUCUGCUAGACUGUGCUCUUUUUGAUAGCAUAGGCCCUGGCUCAGUCCAUGCCCUAAGUACUGGUGAAGUGGGUAAAUUAAUCGUUGAGAAAAUUUCUGAUCGCUUCUUGGUCUUUUGGCUAAGAUCAAGUGGAGAAAGCCUCUGAAUGGCUGCAGGCUCUGCCUGUCAUCUUGAUAGUUACAAAACAUGGGGCUUCUGGCUCCUGCCCUAAAAUAACACUUGACGUUUUUAAAACUACCCCUUUUUUUUUGCUCUAGCACGGAGGUAUCCAGUUAGAAAGCACCUUCCCGAAAUAUAGAUUCCUUCUUUCCACCCCCGACCUUCAUUUUCUGAGAUGUGAAGACUGAAAUCCCAGAGGGACCUGAGGAAAUUCCAGAAAGGAAUUCCUGUUUAUUUUCUGUAAUUCAGCCCACGCAUCGUCCCUUUCAGGUGCCUUCACCCACCCAGCCGCCGCGGAACUCCCCUGCUCCAGUUCCUCAGUCCCUCCUCAUUUCCUUCCUACAUCUAGGGGCCACCAUUGUUGCGGUUCGCAUGCUGCUUUGGAAUUUUCGGUUUACAGUUUUGUCUCCCCCUAAUAGCCUUGUGGGUUUUCAGUGGGCAAGGACUGGGGCAGCUCAACCAGAAGGGGAUUUCGGGAGUCUAUUAUGAAUAAAUGAAAAAUAAAAGUCCUAAGAUCAAGAACUGG
Long non-coding RNA from Homo sapiens (human), 1065 nucleotides. RefSeq annotates it as C2CD4B divergent transcript. NCBI's taxonomy places the organism in Eukaryota, Metazoa, Chordata, Mammalia, Primates, Hominidae. The record is from RefSeq and is a predicted model, not a curated record. The transcript has 2 exons.